UCAACACAUGAUCUGUUGUUGUAGGGACAAAACCUGUACAUCUGUGGAAUGGUGCGGGGCAAGGCGGGAAACGGAAAGCCUCCGCAGAAGCUGAUGCCAGUGGCCUUCCUCUGAAGCGCAGCUAUGUGCAAAGCCAGGGGAGGAGCACGGAGUGUGGCACAGCACCCAAGAGAGCAGCAGUGACCAGCUCGGAUGUGCCGAAGGACAUCACGGACAUCCAGGGUUU
Non-coding RNA from Meleagris gallopavo (turkey), 226 nucleotides. The record is from RefSeq and is a predicted model, not a curated record. Lineage: Eukaryota; Metazoa; Chordata; Aves; Galliformes; Phasianidae.